GUGGUUAUCUGUUGAUAGGUCCUGU
Molecule: non-coding RNA, 25 nt
Filed under: Rattus norvegicus (Norway rat)
Lineage: Eukaryota; Metazoa; Chordata; Mammalia; Rodentia; Muridae
Source: RNAcentral